This 253-nucleotide ribosomal RNA is filed under the name uncultured bacterium. Its description in RNAcentral is "partial 16S ribosomal RNA". It matches the Rfam family "Bacterial small subunit ribosomal RNA", at positions 524 to 776 of the family's 1533-position model. The record is from RNAcentral.
GACAGAGGGUGCAAACGUUGUUCGGAAUUACUGGGCGUAAAGCGCGUGUAGGCGGCCCUGCAAGUCGGAUGUGAAAUCCCACGGCUCAACCAUGGAAGUGCAUUCGAAACUGCAGAGCUAGAGUCCUGGAGAGGAAGGUGGAAUGCUUGGUGUAGAGGUGAAAUUCGUAGAUAUCAAGCGGAACACCAGAGGCGAAGGCGGCCUACUGGGCCAGUACUGACGCUGAGCCGCGAAAGCCAGGGGAGCGAACGGG